GCAGACACAUUCCAGCCAAUCAGCAGCAGACCCUCCCUCCCAGACCCUUCCACCUCCUGGACAGCAUCCAUUUUGAAGCUGCAUUCUUAGUGAGCUGUCCAGAAGGUGGGAGGGUCUGGGAGGGAGGGUCUGCUGCUGAUUGGCUGGAAUGUGUCUG
Molecule: microRNA precursor, 157 nt
Filed under: Pelobates cultripes (western spadefoot toad)
Lineage: Eukaryota; Metazoa; Chordata; Amphibia; Anura; Pelobatidae
Source: RNAcentral